GCCGGGCCUGGUGGCGCAUGCCUGUAAUCCCAUCUACUCGGGAGGCUGAGGCAGGAGAAUUGCUUGAACCUGGGAGGCGGAGGUUGCAGUGAGCCGAGGUUGCGCCAUUGCACUCUAGUCUGGGCAACAAGAGUGAAACUCUGUCAAGAAAGAAAGAAAGAAAGAAAGAAAGAAAGAAAGAAAGAAAGAAAGAAAGAAAGAAAGAAAGAAAGAAAGAAAGACGGAGUCUCGCUCUGUCGCCCAGGCUGGAGUGCAGUGGCGCAAUCUCGGCUCACUGCAAGCUCCGCCUCCCGGGUUCACGCCAUUCUCCUGCCUCAG
Molecule: signal recognition particle RNA, 318 nt
Filed under: Chlorocebus sabaeus (green monkey)
Lineage: Eukaryota; Metazoa; Chordata; Mammalia; Primates; Cercopithecidae
Description: Metazoan signal recognition particle RNA
Rfam family: Metazoan signal recognition particle RNA
About the family: The signal recognition particle (SRP) is a universally conserved ribonucleoprotein. It is involved in the co-translational targeting of proteins to membranes.
Source: Rfam by way of RNAcentral